Molecule: ribosomal RNA, 549 nt
Filed under: uncultured Glomeraceae
Lineage: Eukaryota; Fungi; Glomeromycota; Glomeromycetes; Glomerales; Glomeraceae
Description: SSU rRNA
Rfam family: Eukaryotic small subunit ribosomal RNA
Source: RNAcentral
UUGGAGGGCAAGUCUGGUGCCAGCAGCCGCGGUAAUUCCAGCUCCAAUAGCGUAUAUUAAAGUUGUUGCAGUUAAAAAGCUCGUAGUUGAAUUUCGGGGUCAGUAGGUUGGUCAUGCCACUGGUAUGUACUGGUCUCACUGAUUCCUCCUUCCUGAUGAACUGUAAUGCCAUUAAUUUGGUGUUGCAGGGAAUCUGGACUGUUACUUUGAAAAAAUUAGAGUGUUUAAAGCAGGCUAACGCCUGAAUACAUUAGCAUGGAAUAAUGAAAUAGGACGUUCGAUCCUAUUUUGUUGGUUUCUAGGAUUGACGUAAUGAUUAAUAGGGAUAGUUGGGGGCAUUAGUAUUCAAUUGUCAGAGGUGAAAUUCUUGGAUUUAUUGAAGACUAACUACUGCGAAAGCAUUUGCCAAGGAUGUUUUCAUUAAUCAAGAACGGAAGUUAGGGGAUCGAAGACGAUCAGAUACCGUCGUAGUCUUAACCAUAAACUAUGCCGACUAGGGAUCGGAUGAUGUUAAUUUUUUAAUGACUCAUUCGGCGCCUUACGGGAAAC